Capsicum annuum is the source of this 1805-nucleotide non-coding RNA. The record is from Rfam. Lineage: Eukaryota; Viridiplantae; Streptophyta; Magnoliopsida; Solanales; Solanaceae.
UUCCUUGUUGAUGUUGCCAGUAGUAAUAUGCUUUUCUUAAAGAUUAAGCCAUGCAUGUGUAAGUAUGAACAAAGGCAGACUGUGAAACUGCGAAUGGCUCAUUAAAUCAGUUAUAGUUUUUUUUAUGGUAUCUACUACUCGCAUAAACAUAGUAAUUCUAGAGUUAAUAUAUGUAAAAAAAACCAACUUCUGGAACGGUUGAAUUUAUUACAUAAAAUUUAGACAUGGUCUCUGCUCAUUGCUGCGAUGAAUCAUGAUAACUUAAUGGAUCGCACGACCAUUGUGCCAGCGACACAUCAUUCAAAUUUCUACCCUAUCAACUUUUGAUAAAGGAUAGUGGCCUACCAUGGUGAAGACGGGUGAUGGAGAAUUAAGGUUUGAUUUUAGAGAGGGAGCCUAAGAAAUGGCUACCACAUCCAAGGAAGGGAGAAGGCACGCAAAUUACCCAAUCUUGAUAUGGGGAGGUAGUGACAAUAAAUAACAAUACCGGGCUCAAUGAGCCUAGUAAUUGGAAUGAGUACAAUAUAAAUCCAUUAAUGAGGAUCCAUUGGAGGGAAAGUCUUAUGCCAUCUGGAAUGGUAAUUCCAUCUCCAAUAGCGUAUAUUUUAGUUAUGGCAGUUAAAAAGAUCGUAUUUGUACUUUGGGAUGGGCCAGUUGGUCCGCCUAUGGAGUACACCGAUCGUCUCAUCCCUUCUUUUAGUGAUGCGCUCCUGGUGUUAAUUUGAUGGGUCAUGCCUCAACCACUCUUACUUUGAAGAAAUUAGAGUGCCCAAAGCAAUACUACGCUAUGUAUACAUUAGCAUCAGAUAACAUUAUAGGAUUUCGGUGUUAUUAUGUUGGCCUUCAGGAUCGGAGUAACGAUUAAUAGGGACAGUCAGGGGCAUUCGUAUUUCAUAGUCAGAUGUGAAAUUCUUUGAUUUAUGAAAGACGAACAACUUCAAAUUCAUUAGCCAAGGAUGUUUUCAUUAAUCAAGAAUGGAAGUUGGGGGCUCAAAGACAAUUAGAUACAGUCCUAGUCUCAACCAUAAAUGAUGCCGACUAGGGAUCGGCAUAUGUUGCUUUGAGGACUUUGCCAACACUUUAUGAGAAAUCAAAGUUUUUGGGUUUUGGGGGGAGUAUGGUGGCAAGGCUAAAACACAAAGGAUUUGAUGGAAGGGAACCACCACGAGUGAAGUCUGUGGCUUAAUUUGACUCAAUACGGGGAAACUUACAGGUCCAGGCAUAGUAAGGAUUGACAGACUAAGAGCUGUUUCUUAAUUCUAUAGGUGGUGGUGCAUGGUCUUUCUUAGUUGGUGUAUCAAAUUGUCUAGUUAAUUUCAUUAACGAACGAGACCUCAGCAUGCUAACUAGCUACGCAGAGGUAUCCCUUCGCUGCCAGCUUCUUCGAAGGACUAAGACCUUUUAGGCCCCAGAAGUUUAAGGCAAUAACAGGUUUGUGAUGCCCUUAGAUGUUCUGGGCCGCACGCGUGCUACACUGAUGUAUUGAAUGAGUUUAUAGCCUUGGUUGAUAGGCCAAGAUAAUUUUUAAAUUUUAUCAUAAUGGGGAUAGAUCAUUGCAGUUAUUGUUCUUCAACAAAGAAUUCCUAGUAAGUGUGAGUCAUUAUCUCAUGUUGAGUAUAAUCCCUGCCCUUUGUACAUAUCGCCCGUCGCUCCUACCGAUUGAAUGAUUGGGAAAAUAUUUGUAUUAUGGUGAUGUGGGCAUUUUGCUGCAAGCGACGUUGUGAGAAGUCCAUUGAACAUUAUCAUUUAAAGGAAGGAGAAUUCGUAACAAGGAUUUUGUAGGUAAACCUGUGGAAAGAUCACUG